Molecule: ribosomal RNA, 253 nt
Filed under: uncultured bacterium
Lineage: Bacteria
Description: partial 16S ribosomal RNA
Rfam family: Bacterial small subunit ribosomal RNA
Source: RNAcentral
UACGUAGGGUGCGAGCGUUAAUCGGAAUUACUGGGCGUAAAGCGUGCGCAGGCGGUUUUGUAAGCCAGAUGUGAAAUCCCCGGGCUCAACCUGGGAAUGGCAUUUGGGACUGCAAGGCUGGAGUGCGGCAGAGGAGACUGGAAUUCCUGGUGUAGCGGUGAAAUGCGCAGAUAUCAGGAGGAACACCAAUGGCGAAGGCAGCUCGCUGGGACGGUACUGACGCUGAGACGCGAAAGCGUGGGGAGCAAACAGG